AAUUUUGUCUCAUCACGUGAAAACUCACCGGUUCCGGACAUAGUAAAGGAGUGACAGAUUGAUGGCGCUUUCAUGAUUCUAUGGGGUGGGUGGUGCAUGGCCGUUCUUAGUUGGGUGGAAGUGAUUUGGUCUGGUUAAUUUCCGAUAACGAACGAGACCUUGAACCUGCUAAAUAGACGGGUUGACAUUUUGUUGGCCCCUUAUGUCUUCUUAGAGGGACAAUCGACCGUCUAGGUGAUGGAGGCAAAAGGCAAUAACAGGUCUGUGAUGCCCUUAGAUGUUCCGGGCUGCACGCGCGCUACACUGACAGAGUCAACGAGUGGGGCCCCUUGUCCGAAAUGACUGGGUAAACUUGUGAAACUUUGUCGUGCUGGGGAUGGAGCUUUGUAAUUUUUGCUCUUCGACGAGGAAUUCCUAGUAAGCGCAAGUCAUCAGCUUGCGUUGACUACGUCCCUGCCCUUUGUACACACCGCCCGUCGCUACUACCGAUUGAAUGGCUUAGUGAGGACUUGGGAGAGUACAUCGGGGAGCCAGCAAUGGCACCCUGACGGCUCAAAUUUUUACAAACUGGUCAUUUAGAGGAAAUCGAAUCCCGCGGCC
This 600-nucleotide ribosomal RNA is filed under the name uncultured fungus. RNAcentral's name for it is "SSU rRNA". It matches the Rfam family "Eukaryotic small subunit ribosomal RNA", at positions 1191 to 1790 of the family's 1831-position model. The record is from RNAcentral. Lineage: Eukaryota; Fungi.